This 804-nucleotide ribosomal RNA is filed under the name uncultured fungus. RNAcentral describes it as "eukaryotic LSU rRNA". The stretch from base 441 to 594 matches the Rfam family "5.8S ribosomal RNA". The record is from RNAcentral. Lineage: Eukaryota; Fungi.
UAGACGAAAAUCGCCGUAAGUCGGUGAACAUACGGCGUUACUUAUGGCUGGGCCCUUAACGAGCGAUGUUAAUUCAGCAAUCGCGAGAUCGUUUUGACCUGUCCAGGCAUACACAACGGCCAAAUUACCGCGAACCGUCGGCCUGUUUAUGUUAUUUCCUUUUGAGGAAAUCAAUUCACACGCCCUGUUGGCCUCCUGAACCGCCUGUUCUUUGUACACACCGCCCGUCGCACCUUGGUCAUUUAGAGGAAGUAAAAGUCGUAACAAGGUUUCCGUAGGUGAACCUGCGGAAGGAUCAUUAUCAAAACAGCGGACUUCGGUCCUUGCUGCACCCUUGUCUUUUGCGUACCGUAUGUUUCCUCGGCGGGCUUGCCUGCCGGUUGGACAUUAUCAAACCUUUUUGUAGUUGCAAUCAGCGUCAGAAGACAAACAAUAAUUACAACUUUCAACAACGGAUCUCUUGGUUCUGGCAUCGAUGAAGAACGCAGCGAAAUGCGAAAAGUAGUGUGAAUUGCAGAAUUCAGUGAAUCAUCGAAUCUUUGAACGCACAUUGCGCCCCUUGGUAUUCCAUGGGGCAUGCCUGUUCGAGCGUCAUUUUGUACCCUCAAGCACUGCUUGGUGUUGGGCGUUUGUCCUGCAAAGGACUCGCCUGAAAGCGAUUGGCGGCCAACGUACUGGUGGUAGAGCGCAGCACAAUUUGCGUCUCUCCCCUCUGCGUCGGCGUCCAUGAAGCCUUUUUUCAACGUCUGACCUCGGAUCAGGUAGGGAUACCCGCUGAACUUAAGCAUAUCAAUAAGCGGAGGA